AAGUCGUAACAAGGUUUCCGUAGGUGAACCUGCGGAAGGAUCAUUACCGAGUGAGGGUUUCUCUGAAGCCCAACCUCCCACCCGUGUAUACCGUACCCUGUUGCUUCGGCGGGCCCGCCUCACGGCCGCCGGGGGACCUCGCGUCCCCGGGCCCGCGCCCGCCGAAGACCCCAACACGAACACUGUCUGAAAAGUGCAGUCUGAGUCGAUUGUUACCAAUCAGUCAAAACUUUCAACAAUGGAUCUCUUGGUUCCG
Molecule: unclassified non-coding RNA, 256 nt
Filed under: air metagenome
Description: partial contains small subunit ribosomal RNA, internal transcribed spacer 1, and 5.8S ribosomal RNA
Rfam family: Eukaryotic small subunit ribosomal RNA (bases 1-46)
Source: RNAcentral